This 440-nucleotide ribosomal RNA is filed under the name uncultured bacterium. RNAcentral describes it as "bacterial SSU rRNA". It matches the Rfam family "Bacterial small subunit ribosomal RNA", at positions 338 to 775 of the family's 1533-position model. The record is from RNAcentral.
CCUACGGGUGGCAGCAGUGAGGAAUAUUGGUCAAUGGUCGCAAGACUGAACCAGCCAUGCCGCGUGCAGGAUGAAGGCGCUAUGCGUUGUAAACUGCUUUUCUCUGGGAAUAAACCCCUUUACGUGUAAAGGGCUGAAGGUACCAGAGGAAUAAGCACCGGCUAACUCCGUGCCAGCAGCCGCGGUAAUACGGAGGGUGCAAGCGUUAUCCGGAUUCAUUGGGUUUAAAGGGUGCGCAGGCGGGACCUUAAGUCAGUGGUGAAAUCCCGUAGCUUAACUACGGAACUGCCAUUGAUACUGAGGUUCUUGAAUGUAGUUGACGUUAGUGGAAUGUGUCAUGUAGCGGUGAAAUGCAUAGAUAUGACACAGAACACCGAUCGCGAAGGCAGCUAACGAAGCUAUUAUUGACGCUCAGGCACGACAGCAUGGGGAGCAAACAG